This 4433-nucleotide long non-coding RNA is filed under the name Salmo salar (Atlantic salmon). RNAcentral's name for it is "lncRNA (ENSSSAG00000121431.1)". Lineage: Eukaryota; Metazoa; Chordata; Actinopteri; Salmoniformes; Salmonidae. The record is from RNAcentral.
UAUCCAAAUAUUUUUUUUUCAUCAUCACAUAUUAUUUUUAUGGUUACUCAAUAAAAACAUAUAUGCAAGACUUGGAAAUUCACCUUAAAUGGGAAAGUGGCAGUUUAAUACAUUAAUGCAUGAGAAAACAAUGCAUACAUACAAUGGGACACAUUUGCAAACAUUUACAGCAUCUCUUUCCUUCAAAUUGCAUUUUUGAUACAGUAAUUGGACAGGGAAGGACAAUGAACAAUUGUUGCUCUAUUACGUUUGCUUUGAUGUUGUGGAUAUUGGGCUGAAACAGUAUACAUAUUUACCCAAACGUGGAAUAUUUACAAUAUAAUACAGGAAGUUGGCAUUUAGUUGGCAUCUAAAGUAUAUAUAUUUUUUAUAUCUAGGAUAAAAAACGAAUAAACAACAAAAUGCUUGCUUCAAGAGCAAAUUCAAACCCACACCAUUCAGAUCAAUGACAAAACGAUCAUCAAAAUAUAGACUUCAUUGCAGUUUAGAAAAUAGGAAUAUUUGACAGUUCCAGUGUUGAUUCAGAGUGAGGGUUAGGGCAAUGCCCAAAUGGCACCCUAUUCCCUAUACAGUGCACUACUUUUGACCAAAGCCCAAGUCUUUGCUAGGUAAAACCCCGCCUUAUCUCAACUCACUGGUCACCAUAGCAGCACCCACCCAUAGCACGCGCUCCAGCAGGUAUAUUUCACUGGUCACCCCCAAUGUCAAUUCCUUCUUUGGCCGCCUUUCCUUCCAGUUCUCUGCUGCCAAUGACUGGAAUGAGUUGCAAAAAUCACUGAAGCUGGAGACUCAUAUCUUCCUCACUAACUUUAAGCAUCAGCUGUCAGAGCAGCUCACAGAUCAUUGCACCUGUACAUAGGCCAUCUGUAAAUAGCCCAUCCAACUACCUCAUCCCCAUAUUGUUAUUUUUUUAUUUAUUUUUUGGCUCCUUUGCACCCCAGUAUCUCUACUUGCACAUUCAUUCUGCACAUCUAUCACUCCAGUGUUUAAUUGCUAAAUUGUAAUGACUUCGCCACUACGGCCUAUUUAUUGCCUUACCUCCCUAAUCUUACCUCAUUUGCACACACUGUAUAUAGAUUUUUUCUAUUGUGUUAUUGACUGUACAUUUGUUUAUUCCAUGUGUAAAUCCGUGUUGUUUGUGUCGCACUGCUUUGCUUUAACUUGGCCAGGUCGCAGUUGUAAAUGAGAACUUGUUCUCAACUGGCAAACCUGGUUAAAUAAAGGUGAAAUAAAAAAUAAAAUGUUUUAAAAGUCUCUGGUCAGAAGUAGUGCACUAUAUGGGGAAUAGGGUGCCAUUUGGGAUGCAAACCUAGAUCUACAGUAUAAACUACUGCUGGAUCAGAGAGUGUAGGAAGUAGGCUGCAGCUAUCGUCAACAUCACCAGAUAUCUCCCAGGCUCCAGCAGUUGUCCAGAACUUCCUGUUUAAAUGAACAUUGAGAUGAAAGAUUGUAUUACAUUAAUACGUCUACACAGUAAGGUUUAUUUGUAUGUUUCUGUUCAGUUAUACACUAUCACACCUACUGUAUUGGGUGUGUGUGUGUGUGUGUGUGUCAGUGGUGUACUUACUUGAGCAACCUUCUGUCUGCUUGAAGAUGCCCAUCUUCUCACUGUCUUUGAUAGAGUUCAUCUUGUCCGUACUCACCUCCCCUGUAAGUCAACAGGGUAUUGGUUAUUAAAAGUCACAGUAGUAUGUAGCAUUGUGAGUAACUUGUUACCAUUGUAUUAUUACAAUGUUAUUACCAUUUUAUUCUCCCCUGUAAUGUCUUCAUCAGGCUUCCCUAAACUGAGAAUAUUGUGUAAAGAUUGUUUUGGAGUCUGUGAAAGCUUGGAUGGUAUAUCACGCAUUCUCUACCAGAAAGUUGGUUGGCCCUCUUUGAUGUCACGUAGGUUGAUACAUUGCUAUGUUUUCAUUUAUGAAGCCCUUUUACAAAAAGUUCCACUGUUCCUAACAUCAUUACUAAACUUCAGUCAUACUAGUUACCACACCCGGUUUCAGGGAUGACUAACUCUGUAAAUUCCUUUGGUCUCUACAGAGUUAGGUAAAUCAGCUUUAGUUUCUUGCACCUUAUUUGAGGAACAAUCUUCAAAAUGUUGUUAAAUGUGAUGUUCUGGUGCCUCUAUGGCAAUUCAGAAAGCGGAUUGAGGACCUUAUUACUGAUGAAUGUCUUUGUUUUUUAUGACCGUGUUUUUCUUUCUGCUUGCAUUUUGUAUUUAUAUUUUCAUGUGUGUAUUUUCUGUAAUUUAUUGACUCAGUAUGACUCUCUGAUAAAAUAAAGGUUCAAUAAAUAAAUCUACAGCCUAGUCUGAGUACCCAGAUCAAGGAAAAACUAUGUUUUUAGAUGAGACAAAUAAACUUUUUUUCACAAAGAUAGUUUAUCAUUCACAACUCUGUAUGUCUUCAUCGGGCAGUCCUAAACUGAGAACAUUCCACUGUAUUCUUCUGAUGUCAUAAAGGCCAUCCUGUCUGUGCUAUACUGUGGUACCUCUUCUCCAUACACUGCUCUCCUCUGUCCCACUGGGACAGACAACUUGGAGGGGGGCAAAGGUGCAUCCCAAAGGGCACCCUAUUCCCUACUUAGUGCACUACUUUUGACCAGGGUACAUAGGGCUUUGGUCAAAAGUAGUACACUAUAGAGAAUAGCCAGACCCUUAACUCCAGCAUCAGGUUACCCAGCAGUUUUUGUAAGGCUUUUGAAUGGGCAGAAUUAUUCAUUGUCUGGACAGACACAGAGGCCUGAGCAGCUAGCUACUUAGUGCACUACUUUUGACCAGGACCAUUGGGGUUCUGUUAAAAGUAGAGUGCUAUGUAGGGAAUAGGAUUCUUUGGAACGCAACUAUCUCCGAGUAGCUCUCAGACUGGGACACAAGGGCUGAGAAAACAACAAAGCUUUAUGGAGGGAAGAAUCAACACCUAGCAUAGCAUCUACACAGACUCCCACGAUUUGGCAGUUCAUUGAAAGCGUCAGACAAAAACCCUGGUAAUUGCUCUGUAGCGUGAGGAGGAGUUGUUUUUCUCCAUUAUACAAGGCUUAAUCUGUGUCCUGCAAACCAUCUGUGAGCAGCCUACCUCCUCAUUCUUCAAAAAGGCAUUCCUUCACCCAAGAACACCUACAGCUCGUGUUUCAGCACCUCUAUUCCUUCUCUACCUGACUGUCAGUUGUGACACUUUAAUGACAAAGACAACUAUAUAAGUGGUGUGAUGUUCAAAUACUCAGACAACAUAAUUAUAACGUUUCGGAUGUAAACAAUAGGUUUACAUUCCAGGUGAAUACUUUUGACUAAUGAAUUGUGUCAUGGCCUCCAAGAAACUAGAUUUCAACAUAGAUUGCCAAAUAUAAAUGCACGCACACACACACAGACACACACACCUAAACACCUUCUUUGCCCGCUUUGAGGAUAAUACAGUGCCACAGACACGGCCCGCUACCAAGGACUGUGGGCUCUCCUUCUCUGUGGCCGUUGUGAGUAAGACAUUUAAACGUGUUAACCCUCACAAGGCUGCCGGCCCAGACGGCAUCCCUAGCCGUGUCCUCAGAGCAUGCGCAGACCAGCUGGCUGAUGUGUUUACAGACAUAUUCAAUCUCUCCCUAUCCCAGUCUGCUGUCCCCACAUGCUUCAAGAUGGCCACCAUUGUACAUGUACCCAAGAAGACAAAUGUAACUUAACUAAAUGACUAUCACCCCAUAGCACUCACUUCUGUCAUCACGAAGUGCCCAAGAGACUAGUCAAAGAUCAUAUCACCUCCACCUUACCUGUCACCCUAGACCCACUUCAAUUUGCGUAUCGCCCCAAUAGGUCCACAGACGAUGCAAUUGCCAUCACACUGCACACUGCCCUACCCCAUCUGGACAAGAGGAAUACCUAUGUAAGAAUGCUGUUCAUUGACUACAGCUCAGCAUUCAACAUCAUAGUACCCUCCAAGCUCAUCAUUAAGCUUGAGGCCCUGGGUCUCAACCCCGCCCUGUGCAAUUGGGUCCUGGACUUCCUGACGAGCCGCUCCCAGGUGGUGAAGGAAGCAAACAACAUCUCCACUUCGCUGAUCCUCAACACUGGGGCCCCACAAGGGUGCAUGCUCGGCCCCCUCCUGUACUCCCUGUUCACCCAUGACUGUGUAGCCAUGCACGCCUCCAACUCAAUCAUCAAGUUUGCAGACGACACAGCAGUAGUAGGCUUGAUUACCAACAACAACGAGACAGCCUAUAGGGAGGAGGUGACGGCACUCGGAGUGUGGUGUCAGGAAAACAACCUCUCACCCAACGUCAAAAAAACAAAGGAGAUGAUCUUGGACUUCAGGAGGCUGAAUAAAUUUGGCGUGUCACCUAAAACCCUCACAAACUUUUACAGAUGCACAAUUGAGAGCAUCCUGUCGGGCUGUAUCACUGCCUGGUACGGCAACUGCACUGCCCAUAACCCCAGGGCUCUCCAGAGGGUG